GAGGAGGUCAAGGUGGGGGCGGGGAUACCAUAGUGAGUAGGGUAUCCAAUUUCCAAACCUGAUGUGAUCUCGCAGCUGGAACGAGGGGAAGAGCCGUGGGUCCCGGACCUCCAGGGCUCUGAGAAAGAAGUGUUCCCAAGAGCUGCCUUCGCAGGCACAGGGAGUG
Molecule: long non-coding RNA, 166 nt
Organism: Mauremys mutica (yellowpond turtle)
Lineage: Eukaryota; Metazoa; Chordata; Testudines; Geoemydidae
Exons: 3
Source: RefSeq, a predicted model, not a curated record